Molecule: ribosomal RNA, 246 nt
Filed under: Acropyga guianensis
Lineage: Eukaryota; Metazoa; Arthropoda; Insecta; Hymenoptera; Formicidae
Description: partial large subunit ribosomal RNA
Source: RNAcentral
GAAUUUUAUAUAGUUUUUUAAAAAAAAAUUUAUUUUAAAAAAUUUUUAUAUUUUAUUGGGGGGAUAAUAAAAUUUAUUUAACUUUUAUAUUGAUAAUAAGUUUUUUAUAAAAAUAUAAAUUAUUUUAUAAACAUUUAUGAAUGAAUUAAAUAGAAUGUGAAAAUAUAUAAUUUUCUUUAAUUAAAAUUAAUUACCUUAGGGACAGCGUAAUAAUUUUUGAAAGAUCUUAUUAAGAAAAAUGAUUGC